GUGUCAGCAGCCGCGGUAAAACGUAGGAGGCGAGCGUUAUCCGGAUUCAUUGGGCGUAAAGCGCGCGUAGGCGGUUGGUUAAGUCGGACGUGAAAGCCCCUGGCUCAACUGGGGGAGGUCGUUCGAUACUGGCCGGCUUGAGGGUGAGAGAGGGGAGUGGAAUUCCCGGUGUAGCGGUGGAAUGCGUAGAGAUCGGGAGGAACACCAGUGGCGAAAGCGGCUCCCUGGCUCACCCCUGACGCUGAGUGCGCGAAAGCGUGGGGAGCAAACGGGAUUAGAUACCCCGGUAGUCCACGCCUUAAACGAUGAGGGCUAGGUGUUGGUGGGAUUACCCAUCCGUGCCGAAGCUAACGCGUUAAGCCCUCCGCCUGGGGACUACGAACGCAAGUUUAAA
Molecule: ribosomal RNA, 394 nt
Filed under: uncultured bacterium
Lineage: Bacteria
Description: bacterial SSU rRNA
Rfam family: Bacterial small subunit ribosomal RNA
Source: RNAcentral